GUCGAACGGUGAAGCCAGCUUGCUGGGUGGAUCAGUGGCGAACGGGUGAGUAACACGUGAGCAACCUGCCCCUGACUCUGGGAUAAGCGCUGGAAACGGCGUCUAAUACUGGAUAUGUGACGUGACCGCAUGGUCUGCGUCUGGAAAGAAUUUCGGUUGGGGAUGGGCUCGCGGCCUAUCAGCUUGUUGGUGAGGUAAUGGCUCACCAAGGCGUCGACGGGUAGCCGGCCUGAGAGGGUGACCGGCCACACUGGGACUGAGACACGGCCCAGACUCCUACGGGAGGCAGCAGUGGGGAAUAUUGCACAAUGGGCGCAAGCCUGAUGCAGCAACGCCGCGUGAGGGACGACGGCCUUCGGGUUGUAAACCUCUUUUAGCAGGGAAGAAGCGAAAGUGACGGUACCUGCAGAAAAAGCGCCGGCUAACUACGUGCCAGCAGCCGCGGUAAUACGUAGGGCGCAAGCGUUAUCCGGAAUUAUUGGGCGUAAAGAGCUCGUAGGCGGUUUGUCGCGUCUGCUGUGAAAUCCGGAGGCUCAACCUCCGGCCUGCAGUGGGUACGGGCAGACUAGAGUGCGGUAGGGGAGAUUGGAAUUCCUGGUGU
This 601-nucleotide ribosomal RNA is filed under the name Microbacterium sp. MYb36. Its description in RNAcentral is "bacterial SSU rRNA". It matches the Rfam family "Bacterial small subunit ribosomal RNA", at positions 61 to 676 of the family's 1533-position model. The record is from RNAcentral. Lineage: Bacteria; Bacillati; Actinomycetota; Actinomycetes; Micrococcales; Microbacteriaceae.